CUCUUGUCGCCGGUGCGUUGUGCCUGCAUCUUUGCUCCAGCUAAGCCAGCUCCUCUAGGCCUCUGGCUGCCCACCGCAGUGGGCUCUGGACUGGACUCUGGACCAUGCGUUGCUGGGUUUGCUGCUGUGAUGAUGGAGGUGCUGCUUUUGUCUGUCUGAUGUUUAUACUUUGUGGGUGUGGAGUGUGCUAGGAACAUCUCAUAUGUGCCAGGAACUGGCUCUUUGGAAAAGUCAGUCCAGGUUAGAAACAUAGACUGUGGCCGGGCAUAGUGGCUCACGCCUAUAAUCCCAGCACUUUGGGAAGCCAAGGUGGGCAGAUCUCUUGACUUGAGGUCAGGAGUUCGAGACCGGCCUGGCCAACAUUGUGAAACCCCAUCUCUACUAAAAAUACAAAAAUUAGCCAGGCAUGGUGGUGCAUGCCUGUAGUUCCAGCUAUCCGGGAGGCUGAGGCACGGGAAUUGCUUGAACCCUGGAGACAGAGGUUGCAGUGAGCCAAGAUCACGCCACUGCACUCCAGGACUGUAUCAAGUUCACUCCAAAAGUGGAGAAGAGCCAUCUGGACUGCAACUGCCACCAAGGGAAGCCACACUUCAGCCAAGUGGGGCCCUCCACCUAAGGCCGAGCAUGAACCGCAUCACACGGCCACCCCCAGUUGCAACAGAGACUGGGAAGGUGGAGUAUCAGAUGGAAAUCCUAUUGUCAGGACCCAGGCUGAGCAUGCUGCCUCCCCACACGAAACCAGACUUCUGUUAGCAAGAAAGAUACAAGAUCGCCGGCCACUAUGGUUAUUGACAUGUUGUGCUGUCAUCUUCCAAAAACUGACGAGGGCCAGGUGCGGUGGCACACACCUGUAAUCCCAACAUCCUGGAGGCUGAGGCAAGAGGAUCACUUGAGGCCAGGACUUUGAGACUAGCUUGGGCAACAUAGCGAGACCCCCAUCUCUACAAAAAAUAAAAAUAAAAAUUUUAAUAAAAAAAAUAGCCGA
Long non-coding RNA from Homo sapiens (human), 985 nucleotides. Ensembl annotates it as long intergenic non-protein coding RNA 2723. The record is from Ensembl. NCBI's taxonomy places the organism in Eukaryota, Metazoa, Chordata, Mammalia, Primates, Hominidae.